UCAACCUUCCUUUGUAUGAUUUUGUUUUCUGCCACUUUUUUUGAUUUGCUUCCUGUCUUUAAGCUUAGUGAGGGUUUUUCGUUUGUUUGGUCAAAUUUAGUGGGCACUCAUAGUGGGUGCCUUUCAGGUUCCACUUGUUUUUUUUAGUCAACUUUAAGUGGAUGAAUAUCUGUCAGAACCCCUCCUAAAACCCCACCUGUUUCGUUUUGGUUAUUGGUCAGUGACUUUGAUAGUUCCCGCUUCUUUUUGAGCGACAUUUUUGAUUUUCUUUCUGGGGAACAUAACAAAAUGGGGCUUGUCCGGUAUGUUGUUUCCCAUGAGUAGGGUAGUCUCUGAACCUUCUCUGAACCUCCGCCGUUCCCAGAUAUGAGUGUUCAAAAUACACUUGUGGUAGUUUGUCACUGACAUCCACCCAAAGGGGUUAUACGAUUGUGAGAAUUGUUUUGAACGUUGCAAAGGCUAAGACAAUGAAGCCAUGGAUUUUAAGUCAGAAGUGUUUGUGGAAAACCCUACAUGGGAGAUGCUAGAUAAAUGUACAAAGGUGAAUCUGCUCACCAUUGCAAAGCGUUAUGACAUAGUGGCAUCUGGUGAUCCAAAAGCAGUAGUCAUAGAGUUGAUCGGUACCGCUUUCCGGAGAGGGAGGUUGAUGAGAUGGGUACUAUGGGUAGUGGGGGUUAAGUCCCAUAGACGUGCAACUGAGGGAGAUAUAACUAAAUGCAAAGAUGGAGCAACACAAACUGGAGUAUGAGCACAGGGAAAGACAAGGCUGGCUUCUGGUUUAAGUGGGCAUUUGUGUCAAGAAGCAGUGCGGCUUGGUUGGGUCUUGUUUCGGAAGACUCACGGCUCUCGACCUUCGCCUCUUCCCAGUCCGUACGGGAGUUGCAGCGAUGAGACAAGACUGUAACUACCAAUUGGAUACCACAAAAUUGGGGAGAGAUAGGUCUGGAAGCACUCUGAAUCCAGUCAGGCCAUCCUGCACCCCCAACAGAGUUUGAUCUUGUGUCGGAACAAGUACCGCCUUUCAACAAAAAGGAGGUGGAUGUAUAUUUUACUUUGUUUGAGAGGAUUUCCACAUCCCUAAAAUGGCCACGUGAUAUUUGGUCACUGCUCCUCCAAGGUGGUCUUGUGGGAAAAGAUCAAAAAGUGUACGUUGCUUUAUCUCUUGACCAGAGUUCAGAUUUUGAUAAAGUUGUUAUCCUUCGGGCUUACGAGUUGGUCCCAGAGGCAUACAGACUACAUCUCCGUAAAUUACGAAAGACAGAAUCACAAGGUCAUGUUGCAUUCGCAGGGGAACAAGCUUGUCAAGUUUUGAUCGGUGGUCUGGAGGGUGUUUGCCUUUGUCUGACACCUCAGAAAGUGGCUACAGUGUGUUAGUACAAGGCGUGGAGAUGGGUUGCAUGGAAGUUCCAUUGUAUAAUGUGGAACUCGAGUCUGAUCUUAUUUCUAGUUCCGUUGUCGUUGGAGUGAAGCCUAGCCUACUGGCAGGGUCCGAAAUUAACACCCGCCGACCGCAAAAUGCGGUUAGAUUUUCUUUUGGUCGAGUAAAUCUCAGAAGGCUAUCUGCCAAAAUAGUCAUGUAUUAAAAUAUCUGGCAUGAUGGCUCGGUGGAAAUUACUCAUGUUUGCCAGCCACAGACCGUCUCUAGUGCUCCUAGUUUCACGGCACUGUUUACCAUACGAGACAUCAGCUACUCAACAUCGCUCACUUGCCACGGGUCUGCUGCUAGCUAACUGUUCAUUUAAUAGCUGUUAUGUGGAGACAUUUAUCUGGAGUAAGCCAACCUUUGAAACAAAAACCCACACACGAAAAGGACGAAUCACAUCAAAAAAUAACGUUUUGUGAGAAAUGGAGGUUUGGAGAUAAAGGAGUUUCAAGUGGCUGGCGACAGUAUGAUGCUGAGGCUGUGGUGAUAAGUAGUUCUGAGUGUCGCUAGUAUGCUAAAGAUAAAAGCAGAAACAACUAAUUUGUCAUCGGGAUUAAAAUCAUGAAGUUGGAGAACAUUUGUGACCAUGAACACAACAAGUGUUACAUUGCCUGCGUGUCUUUGUGUUUCUGGCCUCUCCUCUUGACACCCUCUGAGCACUAAUGGAAACAUCAGAGCAGACGAGCACGAAGAUGAAGAUACUGUUUAGGACUGUACAUGCCAUUGGCAAGAAGGCAAGACCACUUUCUGACUUGGAGUGGAUGUUUUGAAUGAGAAAAAAAAAAGACUCGCUGUGGGCUCGACAUAUAGAAAUGAGAAGCAGGCCAAAGAGUUUAUGCACCAUAUUGCAGAGGUGGAGAGAACAUUUCUCUCCAUGUCAGAUGGCUCCACAGACAGUUAUUGUGAAAGAGGAGGAGUUAGUUUGUCAGAUUCUGUCCCAAGGGCAAGAUCGAGUCGAAGUUUGUUGGCAGCAAGUCGGUGGAGACGCGGCACAUAUAAGCAUCAGUGCCAUCUUGGAGUGGGUGUGUGAUGAGUGGGGGAGCAAGUUGAUCGCUCUGGGAACAGAUGGAGCUGCUGUGAUGACCGGAGCCAAGAAUGGUGUGGUCAGCUGGCUGAAGGGGGACAGGGCCUAACAUCAUCGGCAUCCACCGUAUGGCACACCGCCUUGAACUGACCUUUCUGAUGCCAUGCGGUCCAACGUGGUGUUUCAGAAAGUAGAAGACCUCCUCAGUAGGCUCUACACCUUCCACCACACCAGCCCACUGAACAGGGAAAACCUGAUUCAAUCUGCUGAUGCCCAAAAUGUCUGAGGUGUCCAGCCGGUAAAGGCCAGGAAAUACUACAGUACUGCGAUGGAGGCUGUUCUCAUCCGCUUCUUUGGCUUCCUGCAUGACACACUAACACACCUGAGCGAUCUGUCCGCCUGUCUCCAGAGGUCCACCAUCACCAUAGCAGAAGCCCGCUGCUCCUUGUGCUCAACACAGACGGUACUUAAGAAGUAACAAAACAGGUAUGUUUAUUUAAGCUGCAAUAAGAAAUACUUACCUUAAGAGAAAGAAUUACGUCAAUAAGAGAGGGCGAGCGACUGAGUGAGAGUGUGUUGUAAAAUAAAAUUCUGAAAGGAUGUCAAAAUGAGCCAUUUAUCACCAGAGAAGGGUCAGAAAAGCGAUUACUCACCGCAGACUGGAAUAAACUUUUUCCUUUAACGAGUCCGAUCAGAAGGAUGUCCUGCUUUCACGGAACAGGGCCAGAUCCACGCCUUUUGCUUGAAGAAAAGAAUCCGGAAAAGGGGAUGCAGAUCCGGAAGCGAACGAGCAAACUCCCAAUGCAUUCCAUUCUCCAUGCUAAUGUGCAAUCGUUGGAAAAUAAAAUUGAUGACCUACUAUUAAAAUUAUACUACC
This is a long non-coding RNA of Oncorhynchus keta (chum salmon), 3324 nucleotides long. RefSeq lists it as uncharacterized. The record is from RefSeq and is a predicted model, not a curated record. The transcript is spliced from 3 exons. Lineage: Eukaryota; Metazoa; Chordata; Actinopteri; Salmoniformes; Salmonidae.